RNAcentral lists this long non-coding RNA (1049 nucleotides) under Nicotiana benthamiana. RNAcentral describes it as "long non-coding RNA (NBEN_LNC002824)". The record is from RNAcentral. Lineage: Eukaryota; Viridiplantae; Streptophyta; Magnoliopsida; Solanales; Solanaceae.
UCGAGUACAAUUGUAAUGAUAAUGUUUAUAUUCAUAUGUUAUCUUUUGUUAUUUUCUAAAUGUACGUUGAAUAUGGAUACCCGUUCCUUAAAUCGGUUAUUAUAAUAUAUUGACUUAAAAUUGCGGUAGGAACCGAUACACUUCAAUUCCUAGAUCCGCCUCUUCACCCUGAGCCCACUUGUUGGCACAGUUAUGCAUGGCCAAGCCAACUACCAGUCGUGCAAGGAUGCUUUCUAUGCACAUUGUAAUGUACAUCCUCCAUGUCCUGCAUGUGAGCUAAUGGCCUGCCACACACAUUAUAUUUACCGAACUGCUUUAUGUAUAGUUGCCACCGACAAAGCUUUAACUCUGCUAAUAAGCAGAAUAUGUUUACCAAAUUUUGCAUUCUCAGAAGCAUGAGAGUAGCAAGUUCCAUGGCAAUGAGUUACGUGCAAUCACUUGAUCCAUUUGGUUACAACAACCAUGUCUUUUCAGUUUCAGGGGAAAAUAGAACAAGGAAAUGUCAUGGUCAACUUUCCGGGCGUCUCAUUGGGAUCAGUUCCAAAAUGCCAUUAUGCCCUAGCAGACCUUCAUUGACAAUGUUUGAUGAAAGAAGAAGGCUAACAAUCAAGGACAAACUUCUUAUUGCAAGGAACAACAAGAUCAAGCAAUGAAGUGGAGUGCACAAGGAAAUUUGGUAUUUUUUUUAAAGGCUCAAUCAACUCACUCCUCUAAGAAGAAAAUGUUUUAUGACCAUGAAAUAAGCUGUGAUCUAAACAACAAUUCAAUGAACAGGGAACAAAACAGAUGGAAAAGGAAAAGUCAUGUCAUAAUUGAGCUUUGAAACUACUUUUGUGAAGAAAAUAAGGAGCUAAAGCUGACCUGUACUGCAGCAGCUGUUUCCAGAGCUAUGGCCUGACUUACAGCAGCAUUACUUUCAAAAAAGUUGAUAAUUUGGUCAAUGGAAUCCUUCAAAUACUAAGGAAAAAAUUUUGAUCAGUUAAAACGCUAAACUGUUGCAACUGGUGAACUAAAAUAAAACUUCAGCUUACAGUCACAUAGCAGGGAGA